CCUCUCUCAGGAUUGUACCUGGAGAGUUUCCAGUCCUCUACCAGUCUCGGCUACAGGAGGGAGAGUCAAGCAGAGGCACACCCAUUCCAUUCCUAGCUUGGGCAGUGGCUAGUGAGUGGAAGGCAAUCUGGUACGAGU
Ornithorhynchus anatinus (platypus) is the source of this 138-nucleotide small nucleolar RNA. NCBI's taxonomy places the organism in Eukaryota, Metazoa, Chordata, Mammalia, Monotremata, Ornithorhynchidae. The record is from RefSeq and is a predicted model, not a curated record.